Molecule: ribosomal RNA, 479 nt
Filed under: uncultured bacterium
Lineage: Bacteria
Description: partial 16S ribosomal RNA
Rfam family: Bacterial small subunit ribosomal RNA
Source: RNAcentral
GAUGAACGCUAGCGGGAGGCCUAACACAUGCAAGCCGAGCGGUCUUUGUUCUUCGGAACAGAGAGAGCGGCGCACGGGUGCGGAACACGUGUGCAACCUGCCUUUAUCUGGGGGAUAGCCUUUCGUACGGAAGAUUAAUACUCCAUAAUAUAUUGAGUGGCAUCCUUUGAUAUUGACAACUCCGGUGGAUAGAGAUGGGCACGCGCAAGAUUAGAUAGUUGGUGAGGUAACGGCUCACCAAGUCAAUGAUCUUUAGGGGGCCUGAGAGGGUGAUCCCCCAGACUGGUACUGAGACACGGACCAGACUCCUACGGGAGGCAGCAGUGAGGAAUAUUGAACAAUGGGGUAGCGCCUGAUCCAGCCAUCCCGCGUGAAGGACGACGGCCCUAUGGGUUGUAAGCUUCUUUUGUAUAGGGAUAAACCUACUCUCGUGAGAGUAGCUGAAGGUACUAUACGAAUAAGCACCGGCUAACUCCGUG